ACGGUCCUAAGGUAGCGAAAUUCCUUGUCGGGUAAGUUCCGACCCGCACGAAAGGCGUAACGAUUUGGGCACUGUCUCAACGAGAGACUCGGUGAAAUCAUAGUACCUGUGAAGAUGCAGGUUACCCGCGACAGGACGGAAAGACCCCGUGGAGCUUUACUGUAGCCUGAUAUUGAAAUUCGGCACAGCUUGUACAGGAUAGGUAGGAGCCUUUGAAACGUGAGCGCUAGCUUACGUGGAGGCGCUGGUGGGAUACUACCCUAGCUGUGUUGGCUUUCUAACCCGCACCACUUAUCGUGGUGGGAGACAGUGUCAGGCGGGCAGUUUGACUGGGGCGGUCGCCUCCUAAAAGGUAACGGAGGCGCUCAAAGGUUCCCUCAGAAUGGUUGGAAAUCAUUCAUAGAGUGUAAAGGCAUAAGGGAGCUUGACUGCGAGACCUACAAGUCGAGCAGGGUCGAAAGACGGACUUAGUGAUCCGGUGGUUCCGCAUGGAAGGGCCAUCGCUCAACGGAUAAAAGCUACCCCGGGGAUAACAGGCUUAUCUCCCCCAAGAGUUCACAUCGACGGGGAGGUUUGGCACCUCGAUGUCGGCUCAUCGCAUCCUGGGGCUGUAGUCGGUCCCAAGGGUUGGGCUGUUCGCCCAUUAAAGCGGUACGCGAGCUGGGUUCAGAACGUCGUGAGACAGUUCGGUCCCUAUCCGUCGUGGGCGUAGGAAAUUUGAGAGGAGCUGUCCUUAGUACGAGAGGACCGGGAUGGACAUACCUCUGGUGUACCAGUUGUCGUGCCAACGGCAUAGCUGGGUAGCUAUGUGUGGACGGGAUAAGUGCUGAAAGCAUCUAAGCAUGAAGCCCCCCUCAAGAUGAGAUUUCCCAACUUCGGUUAUAAGAUCCCUCAAAGAUGAUGAGGUUAAUAGGUUCGAGGUGGAAGCAUGGUGACAUGUGGAGCUGACGAAUACUAAUCGAUCGAAGACUUAAUCAA
RNAcentral lists this ribosomal RNA (978 nucleotides) under Escherichia coli. Its description in RNAcentral is "bacterial LSU rRNA". It matches the Rfam family "Bacterial large subunit ribosomal RNA", at positions 1945 to 2925 of the family's 2925-position model. Lineage: Bacteria; Pseudomonadati; Pseudomonadota; Gammaproteobacteria; Enterobacterales; Enterobacteriaceae. The record is from RNAcentral.